This 888-nucleotide ribosomal RNA is filed under the name uncultured bacterium. Its description in RNAcentral is "bacterial SSU rRNA". It matches the Rfam family "Bacterial small subunit ribosomal RNA", at positions 8 to 890 of the family's 1533-position model. The record is from RNAcentral.
AGAGUUUGAUCAUGGCUCAGAUUGAACGCUGGCGGCGUGCCUAACACAUGCAAGUCGAGCGGUAACAGGUGUAGCAAUACAUGCUGACGAGCGGCGAACGGGUGAGUAAUGCAUUGGAAUCUUCCCAGUAGUGGGGAAUAACCAGUCGAAAGAUUGGCUAAUACCGCAUACGUCGGAAACGGGAAAGCGGGGGCUCGUAAGACCUCGCGCUAUUGGAUGAGCCAAUGUCGGAUUAGCUAGUUGGUGAGGUAACGGCUCACCAAGGCGACAAUCCGUAGCUGGUCUGAGAGGACGACCAGCCACACCGGAACUGAGACACGGUCCGGACUCCUACGGGAGGCAGCAGUGGGGAAUAUUGGACAAUGGGGGAAACCUUGAUCCAGCGACGCCGCGUGUGUGAAGAAGGCCUGCGGGUUGUAAAGCACUUUUAGUGGGGACAAAAAGCUACGGACUAAUAUUCUGUGGUCUUGAUUUAACCCAAAGAAAAAGCACCGGCUAACUCUGUGCCAGCAGCCGCGGUAAUACGGAGGGUGCGAGCGUUAAUCGGAAUUACUGGGCGUAAAGCGCGCGUAGACGGUUUUGUAAGUCAGAUGUGAAAUCCCUGGGCUCAACCUGGGAACUGCAUUUGAUACUGCAUGGCUAGAGUAUCGAAGAGGGAAGUGGAAUUUCCGGUGUAGCGGUGAAAUGCGUAGAUAUCGGAAGGAACACCAGUGGCGAAAGCGACUUCCUGGUCGAAUACUGACGUUCAUGUGCGAAAGCGUGGGGAGCAAACAGGAUUAGAUACCCUGGUAGUCCACGCCAUAAACGAUGACAACUAGAUGUUGGGAGGGUCUGCCUCUCGGUGUCGCAGCUAACGCGUUAAGUUGUCCGCCUGGGGAGUACGCCGCA